GUUGGUGAUGCAUGGCCAUUCUUAGUUGGUGGUGCAAUUUGUCUGGUUAAUUCUGAUAACCAACAAGAUUCUGGCAUGUUAACUAGUUAUAUGACCCUCCCCCCCAAGCUUUCAGACCCCAACUUUGUAGAGGGACAAGUGGCAUUCAGCCACCUGAGAUUGAGCACUAAAAGAUUUGUGAUGCCCU
RNAcentral lists this non-coding RNA (187 nucleotides) under Tupaia belangeri chinensis (Chinese tree shrew). Its description in RNAcentral is "Tupaia chinensis (Chinese tree shrew) Eukaryotic small subunit ribosomal RNA". It matches the Rfam family "Eukaryotic small subunit ribosomal RNA", at positions 1273 to 1473 of the family's 1831-position model. Lineage: Eukaryota; Metazoa; Chordata; Mammalia; Scandentia; Tupaiidae. The record is from Rfam by way of RNAcentral.